RNAcentral lists this long non-coding RNA (1004 nucleotides) under Mytilus galloprovincialis (Mediterranean mussel). The record is from RNAcentral. Lineage: Eukaryota; Metazoa; Mollusca; Bivalvia; Mytilida; Mytilidae.
GAAUCUUUCAAGAUUAUAAUAAAUUAAAUGUUGUUAUUCUAUAUUAAUGCAUAACUAUAUGAUACAGGUUUCUUAAAUAUCUAAAUAUCAAAUUAUCUACUUAACAUAGGCACCUCAGAAUAACAUGACAUUUUGUGAAAUUUAUAACAAGAACGACAUAGAUUAUUGGUUUUUUUUUCAAAGAUCUAUCCUUUGAAAAAAAAAGUGGAAGAAAUUGCGUAACAUGAAUAGAUGUGCCUCAAGGAAUUUGUUUCCGUCCAUAUCACCUACGUUGUGGUGAUGAUCUGGAAUACAAGUUUAUAAAACAAAAGAUUAACAAAGGAUCAUACUUCCAGCGGAAAGCUAUGACAAUGUGGCAGCUUUGGUUACCAUGUCGUCGAUUGAUUCCACAGCUUAUGUGAUGAUUAUUUGUCAAAAAAUACGAUGCUUAUUUUAUUGUGUUUCAACUCCGAGAUUUGUGCCAAAAAGCAACAGUUUCACAAUUGAUCGAUUGCAUAAAAGCAACAGUUUCACAAUUGAUCGAUUGCAUAAAAGCAACAGUUUCACAAUUGAUUGCAUAAAAGCAACAAUUUCAUAUUUGAUCUUAUGUUUGGAAUAAAAAAAAAAAGAUGUGGUAUGAUUGACAAUGAGACAACUCUCCACAAGAAUCUUCGUUAACAGAUUCAUACACUUUUGUGCAACAUGAUUAUGUGCCACUAGUGGAGCACGAACGGCUCAACUCUAGGAUCACUUCCUUUUACCCCUUAUUUUGGUGGGGUUCCAUAUCUAAAUCUUUGGUUAUGGUGUUGUAUAAUCUAGGAUUGAAGAGCCAGUACCUUUUUUAUGUAUAAAAAUAGUCAUAAGGUGUAACAACUUCAAUUAACAUAACAUAUAACUAUACUUUCUAAAACGUAAACAGUUUGAUAAACCAUUGAGAACAUUUACAUGACUGUCCCUUUGGUAUCUUUCGUCCCUCUUUUACAUCGGUAGGAGCCAAUGUCGAAAAAGCAAAGGAAGCAUUUGAC